CUAAGAAUAUUCCGCAAUGGAGGAAACUCUGACGGAGCGACGCCGCGUGGAUGAUGAAGGUCGGAAGAUUGUAAAAUCCUUUUAUGACUGAGGAAUAAGCCGGGUGAGAGAAACGCCUGGUGGUGACUGUAGGUCAUGAAUAAGCAACGGCUAAUUACGUGCCAGCAGCCGCGGUAACACGUAAGUUGCGAGCGUUGUUCGGAAUUAUUGGGCGUAAAGGGCAUGUAGGCGGUAUUGCAAGCCUGGUGUGAAAGGCAGGGGCUCAACCUCUGGACUGCGCUGGGAACUGCGAUACUAGAGUCGCUGAGGGGCAAUCAGAAUUCCAGGUGUAGGGGUGAAAUCUGUAGAUAUCUGGAAGAAUACCAAUGGCGAAGGCAGGUUGCCAGCAGAUGACUGACGCUGAGGUGCGAAGGUGC
RNAcentral lists this ribosomal RNA (416 nucleotides) under uncultured Treponema sp. RNAcentral's name for it is "bacterial SSU rRNA". It matches the Rfam family "Bacterial small subunit ribosomal RNA", at positions 355 to 762 of the family's 1533-position model. The record is from RNAcentral. Lineage: Bacteria; Pseudomonadati; Spirochaetota; Spirochaetia; Treponematales; Treponemataceae.